GACUUUGAGAGUUCCGCUUAUGGCUGCAGGGUCAACCAAUUUGUUGUUGGGACCCUGGAGCUGAAUGGCUUUCCUGUCUGUCGAUCCUUGGCUCAGCCCAGAAGUACAGGAAAAGCGGAAGCUGGUUCCAGACAAACCAACGCUCUCAACUCUGAAGAGUCAGGAGUUGUUAGAGAGCCUUUUCUCAGAAAGCCUGACACCCGUGUCUUUAGUCUGGCAUCCAUGCUAGUCACUUUUAACUGGCCAAUAGGUGCCUGGUAUUUAGUCCCCAAAUUCUAAGGAAAAAUAAGACAGAAUAGCAAGCAAAAGGGGUCUGAUGGUACUCACCACUUGGUGAUAGGCGACAGUCCCAUCUGGGUCACCAAAAUAUGUCUGGAAUUGGUUCCUUCCAGUGGGUUCUUGGUCUCACUGACUUCAAGAAUGAAGCCGCGGACCCUCGCAGAACAAUGGUUCAGGAUUCACUAAUUCAGUAUUAGCAGCAACUUUACGGAACAAAACUACUGUGGAUAAUGAGAAUUCACUGCGCCCGUUGUUUAAACAGUUAACAGCAGUCACUUUAGUGCCUUUUGUAGAGACAGAGCACUAUGUGAAGAUUGUGCCUGCUUCCUCUUUGCCUUCCACCAUGAUUGGAAGUUUCCUGAGACCUUCCCAGCAGCAGAAGCCUAUACAGUCUGCAGAACUAGUUCCCCAGCUAUCCCCCAGUGGCUUGGAGAUUCCCAUUUCAAGAGUGUAGAGUUCUACCCAGAAGGUGGCUGCGUGGACAGUGACUACAUUCUCAGCUCCAUGCCUAUUUGGGUGAGGCCCUGUGAUGAAUGGUCAUCAGUGGAAUAUGAGCAGAAGUGUUAUGUGUCAGAAGAAGACAUGCCUUCUCCAUCCUUUCUUUUCCCCUACCCUCUGGUUUGUGUUGGUUUCCAGGGUGUCCUUGGGAGGGGUUUGGGCCAUAAUUUCAAAAGACACAGUGCUAAAUACCACAAUCCCAAAUGUUGAAAUCUGGAAAGAUCAAAAUCUCUAAAGGAAGGCACACAUUUAAGAUGGCAAAGCCACUGUGCCUUUGUCCCUAAAUAAGAGUGGGGCAACUGUGCCUUUCACCACUCUGCUGUUAACCAGUUAUACACACAAUGAACUGUUACGUUAGCAAAAAAAAUGUUUCUUGUAAAGGCCACUGAAAUUGUGGAGUUUGUCUGUUACAGUAACUAGCAGUACUCUAACUAAAAUGAGCGUCUUUCAUAAUAGAGAUGAGAAUUCAGAUUUCUACUAUUCUCUGACAAAUCUCCAUAACACUUAUUUACCAAACCACUGAUUUUAAUUGUGCUGAACGGAAAUGAUCAUGGAGAGUCACUUUUCCAAUGACCUCUCUGUCCCUUGGUUUUCCAUUGUUUAAGGUGAAUGAUAAUUUCUAUCUUUUAUUUCUAUUUGUGGUAUCCAAACAAAAUCAUCAUAAAAACUCCAUUAUGGCAUAGUUAAUUGUAAAAUAAAUAUAUAUGACCAAAAAAAUUAAAAAGACUUCCCUCUUUUAAACCUUU
This 1523-nucleotide long non-coding RNA is filed under the name Homo sapiens (human). RNAcentral's name for it is "long independently transcribed non-coding RNA 2932, transcript variant 10 (LINC02932)". The record is from RNAcentral. Lineage: Eukaryota; Metazoa; Chordata; Mammalia; Primates; Hominidae.